GAGUUAAGUAUGCUGAGUUUAUAGGGGCGAAGCUCUCUGAAAAUUAUUUUUAUUUAAGCUUUAUGCUUUAGUAGAGUUUACAUUGCUAAUCUUUUAAAAGUGUUUUAUAAUUAGGUAGUGUUUUGGAUUUAAUGUAGUACCCCUAUUUUAGUAAAGACUUCUGUUUUCUUAGAAAGUAGUAUAGAAUGAGUAUUUGAGUUAAGCAUUUGAUCUUAUGAUAAGUGGCUGUAUUGGUGUAUAUUUCGAUAAAAAGAGGUUUAAUUCUGGUUUCGGGUUGGUUGUGCUAGGCUGGUCUUAGAGGAGACUAGGAAUGGCGUUUAGGUGUAGUUUCACUACUGGUAAGAAAAGUGGAGAUUUUGAUGGUGAUUUACAAAGAAGGAACUCGGCAAAUUAUUUCUCCGCCUGUUUAUUAAAAACAUGUCCCUCAGUUUAAAAAUUAGUAAUGGGGGUCGGGCCUGCCCGGUGCCGAGAGGUAAACGGCUGCGGUGAAUAGCCGUGCUAAGGUAGCGUAGUAAGUUGUCUCCUAAUUAGAGAAAGGAAUGAAUGGUUUGACGUGGGAAAGACUGUCUCCUUUGUAAACAAUGAAAUUCACUUCGUGGUGAAAAGGCCAUGAUAUUUGUAAUAGACGAGAAGACCCUAUCGAGCUUGGAUUGUUGUAUGGGGUAAGUAUUAUACAAGAAGUUUUACUGGGGCAGUAGAAGGUUAGAAAGUAACUCCUUUAUACGUUGGAAGGAUCCUUGUGUUGAUUAGGCGUGUUGUGUAGCUCAUUAAAAUUAAUUGGGCUUUGGCUGUUCUCACUUCGCAAGAAAAAAAGAAAAAGCUACCGUAGGGAUAACAGCGUAAUCCGUUAAGUGAGGUCUUAUUGUAGAACGGGUUUGCGACCUCGAUGUUGGAUUUGGGUUUACUUGCAUGGUUGCAGGCG
Molecule: ribosomal RNA, 922 nt
Filed under: Caryocorbula caribaea
Lineage: Eukaryota; Metazoa; Mollusca; Bivalvia; Myida; Corbulidae
Description: partial 16S ribosomal RNA
Rfam family: Archaeal large subunit ribosomal RNA (bases 346-922)
Source: RNAcentral